This 497-nucleotide ribosomal RNA is filed under the name uncultured bacterium. RNAcentral's name for it is "partial 16S ribosomal RNA". It matches the Rfam family "Bacterial small subunit ribosomal RNA", at positions 28 to 507 of the family's 1533-position model. The record is from RNAcentral.
GAUGAACGCUGGCGGCGUGCCUAAUACAUGCAAGUCGAGCGAACGGACGAGAAGCUUGCUUCUCUGAUGUUAGCGGCGGACGGGUGAGUAACACGUGGAUAACCUACCUAUAAGACUGGGAUAACUUCGGGAAACCGGAUCUAAUACCGGAUAAUAUUUUGAACCGCAUGGUUCAAAAGUGAAAGGCGGUCUUGCUGUCACUUAUAGAUGGAUCCGCGCUGCAUUAGCUAGUUGGUAAGGUAACGGCUUACCAAGGCAACGAUGCAUAGCCGACCUGAGAGGGUGAUCGGCCACACUGGAAGUGAGACACGGUCCAGACUCCUACGGGAGGCAGCAGUAGGGAAUCGUCCGCAAUGGGCGAAAGCAUGACGGAGCAACGCCGCGUGUGUGAUGAAGGUCUUGGGAUCGUAAAACUCUGUUAUUAGGGAAGAACAUAUGUGUAAGUAACUGUGCACAUCUUGACGGUAACUAAUCAGAAAGCCACGGCUAACUACGUG